Molecule: ribosomal RNA, 253 nt
Filed under: uncultured bacterium
Lineage: Bacteria
Description: partial 16S ribosomal RNA
Rfam family: Bacterial small subunit ribosomal RNA
Source: RNAcentral
UACGAAGGGGGCUAGCGUUGCUCGGAAUUACUGGGCGUAAAGGGCGCGUAGGCGGACAUUUAAGUUAGAGGUGAAAGCCCAGGGCUCAACCCUGGAAUAGCCUUUAAUACUGGAUGUCUUGAGUUCGGGAGAGGUGAGUGGAAUGCCGAGUGUAGAGGUGAGAUUCGUAGAUAUUCGGCGGAACACCAGUGGCGAAGGCGACUCACUGGCCCGAUACUGACGCUGAGGCGCGAAAGCGUGGGGAGCAAACAGG